AUGUGGAGAUCAGUGAAAAUGGGGAAAUGCGAUGAAAUGUGUGGAAGCCGAGGGACAAGGGGUCGAGCGGAGCUAAGACCGGCAUUUUUAGACGCUCCUGCCGCUCACAUCAUCAAUCUCCAAAGACCAAAAAUGAUAUUAAUAGCGUUGUGAUUAAUGUUAUUUCCGCGUUCAUGUUACAGAAGCUUUGUCACGCUACCACCAGGGUCAGAGAACUACCCCUGGAAAUGCCCAAACUACCCGUGAAAGCGUUGUCAAAGUUGUGUUCUCGGGCUUUGGAAGGUAUAGAAAUAUGGCCCUAAGCCCCCAGUAGGAUGCUAGACAUAUUUUCACCUGUCCCUUAGUGAGCCUGAGGGGGGUCAAAGAGGGGAUCAGUCGGGUUCUAAUGAGUGUUUCUUUAGGUUCACGGUACAGAGGAAGGGUCACACUACCACCAGGGUCAUAAAACUACUACUGGAAAAGCCCAAAACUUCUGUGAAAGCCUUGCCAAAUGUGUUUCUUAGGUUCACAGUACAGAGGAAGGGUCACACUACCACCAGGGUCAUAAAACUACCCCUGGAAAAGCCCAAAACUUCUAUGAAAGCCUUGCCAAAUGUGUUUCUUAGGUUCACGGUACAGAGGAAGGGUCACACUACCACCAGGGUCAUAAAACUACCCCUGGAAAAGCCCAAAACUUCUAUGAAAGCCUUGCCAAAUGUGUUUCUUAGGUUCACGGUACAGAGGAAGGGUCACACUACCACCAGGGUCAUAAAACUACCCCUGGAAAAGCCCAAAACUUCUAUGAAAGCCUUGCCAAAUGUGUUUCUUAGGUUCACGGUACAGAGGAAGGGUCACACUACCACCAGGGUCAUAAAACUACCCCUGGAAAUGCCCACAACUUAUACGAAAGCCUUGUGAAUUAUGUGAACUUGGCCGACGAAAUGUUUUGAAAUAUGACUUAAUGGUUCCCACACACAUUUCAUGGCAAUUUUUACACUUGUUUUGAUCUCUACAUUAUCUCCUUUAAUUUUCUAGAAGCUUUGAAGAUUAGUAAAUGACAUAUAUGACAACAGAAGACCAAUUAGCUAAGGUGGAAUUGAGAUAUUGGUGUGUUAAUGAUACAAGUCUUCACCUCACCUCCCCUAACAUCAGCAUCCCUUCCCCUAACACCCCUCCCUCCACC
Eriocheir sinensis (Chinese mitten crab) is the source of this 1162-nucleotide long non-coding RNA. RefSeq lists it as uncharacterized. The record is from RefSeq and is a predicted model, not a curated record. Lineage: Eukaryota; Metazoa; Arthropoda; Malacostraca; Decapoda; Varunidae. The transcript is spliced from 3 exons.